Molecule: ribosomal RNA, 510 nt
Filed under: uncultured bacterium
Lineage: Bacteria
Description: partial 16S ribosomal RNA
Rfam family: Bacterial small subunit ribosomal RNA
Source: RNAcentral
GACGAACGCUGGCGGCGUGCUUAACACAUGCAAGUCGAACGAAGAGCGAUGGAAGCUUGCUUCUAUCAAUCUUAGUGGCGAACGGGUGAGUAACGCGUAAUCAUCCUGCCCUUCAGAGGGGGACAACAGUUGGAAACGACUGCUAAUACCGCAUACGAUCUAAUCUCGGCAUCGAGGAUAGAUGAAAGGUGGCCUCUACAUGUAAGCUAUCACUGAAGGAGGGGAUUGCGUCUGAUUAGCUAGUUGGAGGGGUAACGGCCCACCAAGGCGAUGAUCAGUAGCCGGUCUGAGAGGAUGAACGGCCACAUUGGGACUGAGACACGGCCCAGACUCCUACGGGAGGCAGCAGUGGGGAAUCUUCCGCAAUGGACGAAAGUCUGACGGAGCAACGCCGCGUGAGUGAUGACGGCCUUCGGGUUGUAAAGCUCUGUUAAUCGGGACGAAAGGCCUUCUUGCGAACAGUUAGAAGGAUUGACGGUACCGGAAUAGAAAGCCACGGCUAACUACGUG